GACGAACGCUGGCGGCGUGCUUAACACAUGCAAGUCGUACGGUAAGGCCCUUUAGGGGGUACACGAGUGGCGAACGGGUGAGUAACACGUGAGUAACCUGCCCACAACUUUUUGAUAACGCUUGGCAACUGGUGCUAAUACUGGAUAUGUGCUCCUGCUGCAUGGUGGGGGUUGGAAAGCUCCGGCGGUUGUGGAUGGACUCGCGGCCUAUCAGCUUGUUGGUGGGGUAGUGGCCUACCAAGGCGGCGACGGGUAGCCGGCCUGAGAGGGUGACCGGCCACAUUGGGACUGAGAGACGGCCCAGACUCCUACGGGAGGCAGCAGUGGGGAAUAUUGCACAAUGGGCGCAAGCCUGAUGCAGCAACGCCGCGUGCGGGAUGACGGCCUUCGGGUUGUAAAACGCUUUCAGCAGGGACGAAGCUUUUUGUGACGGUACCUGCAGAAGAAGCACCGGCUAACUACGUG
This 465-nucleotide ribosomal RNA is filed under the name uncultured bacterium. RNAcentral describes it as "partial 16S ribosomal RNA". It matches the Rfam family "Bacterial small subunit ribosomal RNA", at positions 28 to 507 of the family's 1533-position model. The record is from RNAcentral.